AUUGAACGCUGGCGGCAGGCCUAACACAUGCAAGUCGAGCGGAUGACGGGAGCUUGCUCCUUGAUUCAGCGGCGGACGGGUGAGUAAUGCCUAGGAAUCUGCCUGGUAGUGGGGGACAACGUUCCGAAAGGGGCGCUAAUACCGCAUACGUCCUACGGGAGAAAGUGGGGGAUCUUCGGACCUCACGCUAUCAGAUGAGCCUAGGUCGGAUUAGCGAGUUGGUGAGGUAAAGGCUCACCAAGGCGACGAUCCGUAACUGGUCUGAGAGGAUGAUCAGUCACACUGGAACUGAGACACGGUCCAGACUCCUACGGGAGGCAGCAGUGGGGAAUAUUGGACAAUGGGCGAAAGCCUGAUCCAGCCAUGCCGCGUGUGUGAAGAAGGUCUUCGGAUUGUAAAGCACUUUAAGUUGGGAGGAAGGGCAGUAAGUUAAUACCUUGCUGUUUUGACGUUACCGACAGAAUAAGCACCGGCUAACUCUGUG
This 484-nucleotide ribosomal RNA is filed under the name uncultured bacterium. Its description in RNAcentral is "partial 16S ribosomal RNA". It matches the Rfam family "Bacterial small subunit ribosomal RNA", at positions 30 to 507 of the family's 1533-position model. The record is from RNAcentral.